UAUUACCAUGUUAGCAGAAACUAUAUUUAGUCAAGCCAUGAUCUAGCACAUAUACAAUCUAGCCGACCAUAUAGGCGGCAAAAACUGAAAAUAAAGUAAUAACAAAAUUUAAAUACAGAAAAUUAAAAUACUUACAAGGAUAAAGAAAACCAGCAGCAAGCUUUUAUUUAUAAAACACAAGGUUUUUACAAAAGAGUGGUUUGGGAGAGAGGAGAAAAGGCAGAAAAACUGAAUGUCUUUCCAAAAU
Molecule: long non-coding RNA, 247 nt
Filed under: Erythranthe guttata (spotted monkey flower)
Lineage: Eukaryota; Viridiplantae; Streptophyta; Magnoliopsida; Lamiales; Phrymaceae
Description: long non-coding RNA (EGUT_LNC000607)
Source: RNAcentral